CUCAAGAUGGCUGUGCCUGUCAGCUGCAUGGAGCUUCGUUCAAGUAUUUUCUGAGCCUGAUGGAUUUACAGUGAUCUUCAGUGGUCUGGGGAAUAACGCUGGUGGAACCAUGCACUGGAAUGACACACGCCCGGCACAUUUCAGGAUACUAAAAGUGGUUUUAAGGGAGGCUGUGGCUGAAUGCCUCAUGGAUUCUUACAGCUUGGAUGUCCAUGGGGGACGAAGGACUGCAGCUGGCUGAGAGGGUUGAGAUCUCUGUUUACUUAGAUCUCUGCCAACUUCCUUUGGGUCUCCCUAUGGAAUGUAAGACCCCGACUCUUCCUGGUGAAGCAUCUGAUGCACGUUCCAUCCGGCGCUCAGCUGGGCUUGAGCUGACCAUACUCCCUGGAGCCUUCUCCCGAGGUGCGCGGGUGACCUUGGCACAUACAGCCAUCAUGAUGGUACUUUAAGUGGAGGCUGAAUCAUCUCCCCUUUGAGCUGCUUGGCACGUGGCUCCCUUGGUGUUCCCCUUUUACUGCCAGGACACUGAGAUUUGGAGAGAAUCCUGUUACACCUGGGAUUUAGGCACUUUCAAUCUGAAAAAAUACAUAUCCUUUCAGCACUCUGGACGGACUUGAGAACUGUCCUUACGUGACCUAAAGCUGGAGUAUUUUGAGAUUGGAGAAUUAAGAAGGACAGAAUAACGGGCUCCCAGAUUCACAAGCCCCACCAAGAGGAUCACCCCAGGAACGCUUGGAGGCUGAGGAGUUCACUGAGGCUACUGCAUCUUGAGACUCAGGAUGAAGACCCAGCUUGGGGCUGUCAAAGGUUUUUUGCAUGUCUGACACCCAUGACUCCACCUGGACCUUAUGGCUCCACCCAGAAGCAAUUCAGCCCAACAGGAGGACAGCUUCAACCCAUUACGAUUUCAUCUCUGCCCCAACCACUCAGCAGCAAGCACCUGUUACCUGUCCACCCCCACCCCUUCCCCCAAACUGCCUUUGAAAAAUCCCUAACCUAUGAGCUUUGAAUAAGAUGAGUACGAACUUCAUCGCCCACGUGGCGUGGCCGGCCUCGUGUCUAUUAAAUUCUUUUUCUACUA
RNAcentral lists this long non-coding RNA (1081 nucleotides) under Homo sapiens (human). RNAcentral's name for it is "PVT1 splice variant 1". The stretch from base 372 to 540 matches the Rfam family "Pvt1 oncogene conserved region 4". The record is from RNAcentral. Lineage: Eukaryota; Metazoa; Chordata; Mammalia; Primates; Hominidae.